GAUGAACGCUGGCGGCGUGCCUAAUACAUGCAAGUCGAGCGAACGGACGAGAAGCUUGCUUCUCUGAUGUUAGCGGCGGACGGGUGAGUAACACGUGGAUAACCUACCUAUAAGACUGGGAUAACUUCGGGAAACCGUAGCUAAUACCGGAUAAUAUUUUGAACCGCAUGGUUCAAAAGUGAAAGACGGUCUUGCUGUCACUUAUAGAUGGAUCCGCGCUGCAUUAGCUAGUUGGUAAGGUAACGGCUUACCAAGGCAACGAUGCAUAGCCGACCUGAGAGGGUGAUCGGCCACACUGGAACUGAGACACGGUCCGGACUCCUACGGGAGGCAGCAGUAGGGAAUCUUCCGCAAAGGGCGAAAGCCUGACGGAGCAACGCCGCGUGAGUGAUGAAGGUCUUCGGAUCGUAAAACUCUGUUAUUAGGGAAGAACAUAUGUGUAAGUAACUGUGCACAUCUUGACGGUACCUAAUCAGAAAGCCACGGCUAACUACGUG
This 497-nucleotide ribosomal RNA is filed under the name uncultured bacterium. Its description in RNAcentral is "partial 16S ribosomal RNA". It matches the Rfam family "Bacterial small subunit ribosomal RNA", at positions 28 to 507 of the family's 1533-position model. The record is from RNAcentral.